CAGUAGCCGCGGUAAUACAGAGGGUGCGAGCGUUAAUCGGAUUUACUGGGCGUAAAGCGUGCGUAGGCGGCUUCUUAAGUCGGAUGUGAAAUCCCUGAGCUUAACUUAGGAAUUGCAUUCGAUACUGGGAAGCUAGAGUAUGGGAGAGGAUGGUAGAAUUCCAGGUGUAGCGGUGAAAUGCGUAGAGAUCUGUAGGAAUACCGAUGGCGAAGGCAGCCAUCUGGCCUAAUACUGACGCUGAGGUACGAAAGCAUGGGGAGCAAACAGGAUUAGAUACCCCAGUAGUCCCUGUCUCUUAUAC
Molecule: ribosomal RNA, 301 nt
Filed under: uncultured bacterium
Lineage: Bacteria
Description: partial 16S ribosomal RNA
Rfam family: Bacterial small subunit ribosomal RNA
Source: RNAcentral